Molecule: long non-coding RNA, 1329 nt
Organism: Rosa rugosa (rugosa rose)
Lineage: Eukaryota; Viridiplantae; Streptophyta; Magnoliopsida; Rosales; Rosaceae
Exons: 2
Source: RefSeq, a predicted model, not a curated record
AUAUGUGUGCCCAAUGCAAAAGUAAGGCACAGAUCAUGUGUCCCCAUAAAGAAAAUGUAAGAAGGGACCCAUUAAAGUACAAUAUUUUAUUAUAAAUAAUUAAUUUUUAAGUAAGAAGGUAAUAGAACAAAAUCUUUAUACUUGCAAAUACGUAUUUUCCAUCUCACUAUCUCUCUCCCAUCGUCAACAACCAGGGGAAAUCCUUUCCCAUCGCUACUGUAGCUUGAUUUUCUCUCUCGGCUCUCUAGAGAGAGAAAGUAGAUCUAAAAUCAAUUCCUCCCCUCCCCCUUCUCCGAAUUCCCGAUCUAGAUCAUUCCGUCCUCCCCCUUUUCAUGUCGCAAACUUUCAAAAGGAGGGUUGGCAUCUGGCGGAGCAAUUGGAAGCGUUGUUAGGAAUCUCAGUUGUCUUUUGUGUUGUCUCUACAUCCCAAUUGUUCAUCUAGCUAGCUAUGGGGUUUGCUAUCUAGUUUCAUUCUACUUUUUCAAUUCUGGGUUUUGCAGCCUCAGAUCUGAGAUCUCCCUUUCUUCGUCGUCUCUGUUCUUCAUUUUUCCCCCAAAGUCCACAGUAAGUGACAAAACUUUGGUUUUGUUUGCGAUUUGAGUGACAUUUAUGCUUUAGUUUCUGUAUUUUACCCACCAAUAUUGGUGAACUAACAAAACCAUACUUGCAAAUGUUGAUUGAAUGCACUUUUCUCAAUUUAUGCUGUUUUAUGUUUAUAUUCCACUGGCUUUUUUUAACUUCAUAGUAUUCUCUGUAUCUGGUUGCAGCAAGGAACAUAAGAAACUACACGAGCAGUGUCAUUCUUUUUCUUAAUCUUGCCAAUCAAAUUGAAUGAAUAAUUUUUAUGUUUGAGAUCUGUUGUUUAAUACGGCUAACGUGUGCUUGUGGUUUCUCUGUCUUACUUAUUCAGGGGCUUGCUUGAGAGCUGGGGAAUUUUCUUCUUGGAAUACACAGUUAUUACACUGUCAGCAUACUUAAAGAUCACAAGUUGGUAGAUUUGGCCAAAUGACAUAUGAUGAUCAGCUGACUUCUCCAAUAAUACCAAGUAUCCAAAUGACAUGAUGAUCAGCUUUCGUAGAAGUAAUUCCUCAAAAGUAAAGCUACAGAUAUUAAUUACUGGAAGGAGGUAAUUUUUCCCAGCAGCCUAGCUCUUAGAGGAUACUACAGGACUGAAAUUGUAUGUUAGAUACAUGAAGCUUUUAUUAGUCCAAGGUGAAUGGGGCUUAGGCAUGCCAGACAUUUAAACUCGUUGUUGUUUGAAGGAGAAAAUAUAUGUAAAUGUGGAUUUAUUUUGCUGCAAUUAUGUCUCAAUGUAAUUAUUUAAUAAUG